RNAcentral lists this ribosomal RNA (280 nucleotides) under uncultured bacterium. RNAcentral describes it as "partial 16S ribosomal RNA". It matches the Rfam family "Bacterial small subunit ribosomal RNA", at positions 335 to 603 of the family's 1533-position model. The record is from RNAcentral.
ACUCCUACGGGAGGCAGCAGUGGGGAAUAUUGCACAAUGGGCGCAAGCCUGAUGCAGCCAUGCCGCGUGUGUGAAGAAGGCCUUCGGGUUGUAAAGCACUUUCAGUCGUGAGGAAGGGUAGGUUGUAGUUAAGAGCUGCUAUUAUUUGACGUUAGCGACAGAAGAAGCACCGGCUAACUCCGUGCCAGCAGCCGCGGUAAUACGGAGGGUGCGAGCGUUAAUCGGAAUUACUGGGCGUAAAGCGCAUGCAGGUGGUUUGUUAAGUCAGAUGUGAAAGCCC